This 256-nucleotide long non-coding RNA is filed under the name Zostera marina. RNAcentral's name for it is "long non-coding RNA (ZMAR_LNC002552)". Lineage: Eukaryota; Viridiplantae; Streptophyta; Magnoliopsida; Alismatales; Zosteraceae. The record is from RNAcentral.
UUAAAUCGAAUGCUUUAAAAGCACAUGGAAUUCUAUCAUUCAGAUCUACAAAGUAAAACCUGCCUGAACGAUGGUGUUGGGAACAAGGACUUUUGUUCUGCUCUGCCUGUGUAGCUGGACAUGUAUAGUUUCCGGCUCUGAUUACAUCAAGUACAAGGAUCCCAGUCAACAUGUAGAAACUCGCGUGGAGGAUUUGUUGGCCAAGAUGACCGUGGCGGAGAAGGUCGGCCAGAUGGCUCAGAUCGAACGUUCUAUC